UGUAGGAAUCAGAUAAGCCGAAUCACAUGUUAAUAUCAUUCAACAUUUGGAGGUCUGUAAUCGAAACGUGUGUGCGGUUCUUCUAUGGGGCAUUACCAGUGAUUCAACUUGCAUCAUAGGCGACACCCACAAUGGGCAAGACUAUCUUAGAAGUGGGCUAACCCACACAUUGAACAUAAACGUUUCAACUGCGCCAUGAGUUAGCUUGACAAAAGACCUCAUGGUGAGGUCGAGACAUUAUCUGUACAAUUUGUUCCAAUAAACACAACUUUUUUUUCAGCUACUGUGUGCCCAGAUGUACUUGGACUUCACUUUGAGAUGUUUGUCUCAUUGUUUAGUUGUAUACAAUACAUGUUGUAUAGUUGUGUGUAAUAUAGUUCUAUGAUGUUAUCUCUAAUUGCAAGUUGGAAGUGUUAUGGAGGAAUUUCAGCUUCAUUAUCAUAUGAUUGUCUUCCUAUUAGAACUGUCGAGAGCAGUAGUUUGCUGCUAAACUAAGGAUGGCCGUGCCCUUGCCAUAUUCCUCUGCUCUGUAAUUGUAAACUGAGUUUUCCAGUACAAGGCUAAAUAGGAUCCUGAGAUGAGGCACCUGUAAAUUUUUACUGUACUUAUUGGCCCCCAGCAGCACCCCAU
Non-coding RNA from Pelobates cultripes (western spadefoot toad), 630 nucleotides. The record is from the annotation of a GenBank genome assembly. NCBI's taxonomy places the organism in Eukaryota, Metazoa, Chordata, Amphibia, Anura, Pelobatidae.